Sycon ciliatum is the source of this 619-nucleotide long non-coding RNA. RefSeq lists it as uncharacterized. The record is from RefSeq and is a predicted model, not a curated record. The transcript is spliced from 2 exons. NCBI's taxonomy places the organism in Eukaryota, Metazoa, Porifera, Calcarea, Leucosolenida, Sycettidae.
CCUUCAUAGUUCACGAGAACGUUUCGAUUGAUGUUGAGCGGCUAUCGAGCAGAGCGAUUCGAUGUGAGUUGAGUCAUGAAGUCUACUGGCCAGUCACUUGGAAAUGGUUCACGAAUGGAAGCAGUGCACUUGAAGAACCGGCUAGCGAGCAACCCCUCCUGACCAGCCACGGGUUGUCGUCACUGCUCCAGCUCUCGCACAAACAAGUACACGACCUUCGCGAGGCCCAGGGCAGCGUGCUGUGCCGAUCUCAGUGGAGAGACUGGAAUGGCAGAAUGAGAGACGCUGAGGCCGUGGCUUUUGUACCUUCAGAGGAGGAGCCUUCGUCGGAUCCAAACAUCACUCUAGGCGUGCGGCUGAACCACACUGACGAUGGUCUCGUCAUGCAGUGCUACUUGGAUGCACGACUACCCGCAGCAGACAGCGGUGACGUGCAGUGGCGCUGGAGGAGCACGGCCAGUGAGGUGGUGAGUGCAGGCCUGCGCUGGUCCAGCACGCUGUUCAUGUCCACCACACAGCUCAACGUGCUCCUGGCGCUCUCGCGUAACGUCACCUGCUCGGUGUCCUGGUUGGACACUGAUGGAUUCCGACACUGGCGAACAAAGAUUGCCUAUCACCC